GAGGCUUCUUAGAGAGGGGAGCUUAUUAGAGAGGGGGCUUAUUAGAGAGGGGAGCUUAUUAGAGAGGGGUUUCUUAGAGAGGGGGCUUAUUAGAGAGAGAGAGGCUUAUUAGAGAGAGAGAGGCUUAUUAGAGAGAGAGGCUUAUUAGAGAAAGGGGCUUAUUUAGAGAGGGGGGCUUCUUAGAGGGGAGCUUAUUAGAGAGGGGGCUUAUUAGAAGGGGGCUUAUUAGAGAGGAUUUUUUAGAGAGG
This is a non-coding RNA of Paramuricea clavata, 248 nucleotides long. The record is from the annotation of a GenBank genome assembly. NCBI's taxonomy places the organism in Eukaryota, Metazoa, Cnidaria, Anthozoa, Malacalcyonacea, Plexauridae.